AGUCGAGCGGAGANGAGGUGCUUGCACCUUAUCUUAGCGGCGGACGGGUGAGUAAUGCUUAGGAAUCUGCCAUUUAGUGGGGGACAACAUUCCGAAAGGAAUGCUAAUACCGCAUACGUCCUACGGGAGAAAGCAGGGGAUCUUCGGACCUUGCGCUAAAUGAUGAGCCUAAGUCGGAUUAGCUAGUUGGUGGGGUAAAGGCCUACCAAGGCGACGAUCUGUAGCGGGUCUGAGAGGAUGAUCCGCCACACUGGGACUGAGACACGGCCCAGACUCCUACGGGAGGCAGCAGUGGGGAAUAUUGGACAAUGGGCGGAAGCCUGAUCCAGCCAUGCCGCGUGUGCGAAGAAGGCCUUUUGGUUGUAAAGCACUUUAAGCGAGGAGGAGGCUACUAGUACUAAUACUACUGGAUAGUGGACGUUACUCGCAGAAUAAGCACCGGCUAACUCUGUGCCAGCAGCCGCGGUAAUACAGAGGGUGCGAGCGUUAAUCGGAUUUACUGGGCGUAAAGCGUGCGUAGGCGGCUUUUUAAGUCGGAUGUGAAAUCCCCGAGCUUAACUUGGGAAUUGCAUUCGAUACUGGGAAGCUAGAGUAUGGGAGAGGAUGGUAGAAUUCCAGGUGUAGCGGUGAAAUGCGUAGAGAUCUGGAGGAAUACCGAUGGCGAAGGCAGCCAUCUGGCCUAAUACUGACGCUGANGUACGAAAGCAUGGGGAGCAAACAGGAUUAGAUACCCUGGUAGUCCAUGCCGUAAACGAUGUCUACUAGCCGUUGGGGCCUUUGAGGCUUUAGUGGCGCAGCUNACGCGAUAAGUANACCGCCUGGGGAGUACGGUCGCAAGACUAAAACUCNAAAUGAAUUGACGGGGGCCCGCACAAGCGGUGGAGCAUGUGGNUUAAUUCGAUGCAACGCGAANANCNUUACCUGGCCUUGACAUACUAGAAACUUUCCAGAGAUGGAUUG
RNAcentral lists this ribosomal RNA (960 nucleotides) under uncultured bacterium. RNAcentral describes it as "bacterial SSU rRNA". It matches the Rfam family "Bacterial small subunit ribosomal RNA", at positions 60 to 1013 of the family's 1533-position model. The record is from RNAcentral.